AAUGGCAGUGGGAGAUGUCGGCACUGGAGUCGUGGCCGUGGCGGGGAAGACGAAGCCGGCGGAGCUAUGCCGGUGGCUCAAGAGGAAGACAAGGAAGGAUGUGAAGAUUUUUUGUCCUCGUCCACCGGCUGAGAAUCUUGUUAAGCAGGACCCCCAAACAAAACCUUUCCAAGCUAUCAAAGUAAUGCCCAAGUAAGGAAACCUCUACCAGCAAUCACCUACUCUCCAGGACGCAGUACAAAACAUUGCAGGAUAUUAGAGAAAUGAGGGAAAACGCAAUGGGAGAAAAGUUUGCACCCACGAUGAACAAAGGUCCUUUCGAUGGGGUGGAUUCACUGCCCCCGUCCUCCUUUUGCAUGUG
Long non-coding RNA from Triticum aestivum (bread wheat), 361 nucleotides. RefSeq lists it as uncharacterized. The record is from RefSeq and is a predicted model, not a curated record. NCBI's taxonomy places the organism in Eukaryota, Viridiplantae, Streptophyta, Magnoliopsida, Poales, Poaceae. The transcript is spliced from 4 exons.